Molecule: non-coding RNA, 1315 nt
Organism: Amborella trichopoda
Lineage: Eukaryota; Viridiplantae; Streptophyta; Magnoliopsida; Amborellales; Amborellaceae
Source: Rfam
CUUCGAAUUGGGAGGGUGAUCCUCCCGGUGAUCUGACCGUGCCCCAAACCGACACAGGUGAACAAGUUGAGUAUACUAGAGCGCUCGAGAGAAAACCAUGUCGAAGGAACUCGGCACAAUGAUCCCGUAACUUUGAGAUAAGGGGUGCUCUCCUAUCUUUUGAUUAGGAAAGCGACACUUACUAAGGGGUAGUGACUGUUUAUUAAAAACACAAGACUCUGCUAAGUGGUAAUAAGAUGUAUAGAGUCUGACACCUGCCCCAUGCUGGAAGGUCGGAAGGAGAAGUCUUAUAAGCUUUGAAUGGAAUCCCCGGUAAACGGCAUCAGUAACUCUAACUGUCCUAAGGUAUUGAAAUUCCUUGUCGCAUAAGUAGCGACCUGCACGAAUGGUGUAAUGACUGCCUUGCUGUCUUCGACAUGGACCCGGUGAAAUUGAAUUCUCUGUGAAGAUACGAAAUACCAACGGCUAGACCCCAUGCACCUUGACUAUAGCUUCACAGUGACAACCUUGAUCGAAUGUGUAGGAUAGGUGGGAGGUGGUGACACAGAUCUCCCAAUCCUGAAAGACCACUCUUUCAUCUAAGGAUGCCAAACAGCCACAUCGAUCAUUCGGGGGGGGGGGGGGGACAUUGUGAGGUGGGUAGUUUAUCUGGGGCAGAUGCCUCCUAAAGAGUAACGGAGGUGUGCGAAGGUAGGCUCAAGCUAAGAUUAUGCUCGUGAACGUAAUGGGAUAAGCCUCCCUGACUGUGAGACCGACUGGUUGAAAAGAGACGAAAGUCGGCCAUAGUGAUCCGAGGGUCCCGUGUGGAAGAGCUUUUCUCAACAGAUCAAAGGUAUGCCAAGGAUAACAGGCUUAUGACUCCCAAUAGCUCUUAUCGACGGAGUCAUUUGGCACCUUGAUGUCAACUCAUCACAUCAUGGGGUUGAAGAAGGUCUCAAGGGUUCGAUUAUUCACUUAUUAAAGUGGUAUGUGAGUUGGGUUUAGAAUGUCGUGAGACAGUUCAGUUCCUAUCUACCGUUGGUGUUAAAGAGUACGAGAGGACUGGGUUGGGCCAAUCUAUGGUGAAGCGGUUGUUAUGCCAAUAACAGCGCCGGGCAGCUAAGUUGGUAUGAAAGAACUGCUGUGCCGCAUCUGAGCUGAGCUAUAGACUCACUCUCAAAGCCACGAGAGGAGUUUACAUCAGUUUAAUCACUCGUUGUUUUAAACGUUGGAAAUCCUUCUCUAUACAAGUUCUUGUACAACGUUUUUAACAGAACUUCAAUAGGCGAGAGGUGUAAGCACCGCGAGGUGUGAAGCGAUCUCGUACUAAACUAAA